AUGAAGGUGCCCAUGUGUGCCCAAUGUUUGGGAUGCUGUGAGACAAAAGAUCCUGAAGUGCCCACGGAUGAGAAGGAUCAAAUGGCAUUGGCUGCCAUUACCAAGGGAUACAAGGGGCAUGCUCUUCCUGGUGUCCAAAAAGGAGACAGCCAAGGUGAUUUGGGAGGCCCUGAAGAUACUGCACAUCUGAGCACAUGGACUCUCAAGACAGAAUUUGAGUGGUUGGGCGUGAAGGAGUCGGAGUCGGUUAACGAUUUUGCUGCCCGGUUGAUGACCAUAAUCAACAAGAUGAGGGCACUCGGUGAGAAGUUUGAGGAGACUUCUGCAGUCAAGAAGUUCCUUCGCGCCGUCACCAACAAGUUUCUCCAAAUUGCUUCGACUAUUGGAUGA
This 390-nucleotide ribosomal RNA is filed under the name Triticum aestivum (bread wheat). Its description in RNAcentral is "partial small subunit ribosomal RNA". The record is from RNAcentral. Lineage: Eukaryota; Viridiplantae; Streptophyta; Magnoliopsida; Poales; Poaceae.